AACGAACGCUGGCGGCAUGCCUAACACAUGCAAGUCGAACGCGUGGCUUCGGCCACGAGUGGCGCACGGGUGAGUAACGCGUGGGAACCUGCCCCGAGGUGGGGGAUAACCGAUGGAAACGUCGGCUAAUACCGCAUACGUCCUAAGGGAGAAAGAUUUAUCGCCUUGGGAGGGGCCCGCGUCGGAUUAGCUAGUUGGUGGGGUAACGGCCUACCAAGGCGAUGAUCCGUAGCUGGUCUGAGAGGAUGAUCAGCCACACUGGGACUGAGACACGGCCCAGACUCCUACGGGAGGCAGCAGUGGGGAAUAUUGGACAAUGGGCGCAAGCCUGAUCCAGCAAUGCCGCGUGAGUGAUGAAGGCCUUAGGGUUGUAAAGCUCUUUCGGCGGGGACGAUGAUGACGGUACCCGCAGAAGAAGCCCCGGCUAACUUCGUGCCAGCAGCCGCCGUAAG
RNAcentral lists this ribosomal RNA (452 nucleotides) under uncultured bacterium. RNAcentral describes it as "bacterial SSU rRNA". It matches the Rfam family "Bacterial small subunit ribosomal RNA", at positions 29 to 524 of the family's 1533-position model. The record is from RNAcentral.